CAGAGUCAUUGAGAAAGAGAGAGAGAGAGAGAGGAUGACCGCCACUACCACCAGCAGCAGCAGAGUCUCCGCUUUCUUCUCUGUACCGAUAAAACUAUCCAACCAACUCCAAGCAACGGUGCACAACAAGCAAGUCAUUUUCAUUCCAAAACUGCAAACUUUCUCCAUUGCCCAAGCAAAAAAAACUCCUUCAGUAAAGCUCAGUCCUUUGCUCCGCUUUGCUUCAACAUCUUCAUCACCUGCUGUUGAAGAAGAAGAGGGUCAAGAAAAAGGAGAUGAGUUUCCCCAUUCAGAUAAUCAUGAGGUUCUUCUCCAAUCUGGAUCAUCCACACUUCUACAAGAACCUCAGACUCCACCCUCUGUGAGGUAUCUCUUUAACUUGAGAUUGAUCACCUUUUACUUCUUGGAACUCUUCUUGGUCUUAAAGAAUUAGUCCACUUUAGAGUUUAGAUUUUGUUACGAAUGUGUCCUAAUACUUUGUUAACUUGUUGAAAAUCAAUCAAAUUGAUCACAAUUUGAUUAUUUGUGGUCGGAUUUUUGGGGAAAUGAAUUCCUAUCCGUGGAAUGCACGUUAUUUGCCAUGUGUGAUUUUCUUUUAUCUUUUAAACCUCAAGAAAUGAGUAAUGAAUUGAACUCAGAUUACGUGAAAAUUAAAGAUGUCUUCCAAUGCAGUUUAAAGGAGGUUAUUAGCCUCUUGAAUAAAAUUUUCAGAAGAGGGAUACGACUAGGAUGGAGGGAAGGGAUGGUAGGAAUCACCAGAAUGGUGAUAGGGCAAUAAUAUUAGUUGAUACUUAGUGAGGUGGGGAAAUUUUCUGUGAAAGGAAUGUAGUUGUUGAAGUUGGAUAGAAUUUUGGAUGCUUAGCUUUGUAUUCUAAUUUAGUUUAAAGUUUCUCUUCGUUCUUUUAUGCUACUGAGGAUUGAGAAUAUGUGCCCACAGGGGCUGUCAGGUAUGUGGGAAAGAGGAAAUUGAAAGGGGCUGUAAUGGUGAAGGAAGAAUUCAAGGGGGGAUAGCAACAGUACCAGGUUUUGGUUGGUGGCCAAUAAAGGCAUACCGGCCUUGCCCAAGUUUUGUGGCUACUGGUGGUAGAUAUAGGCGGACUGGACAAAGCAUGGAUGAUAUUGGAUUUGGGGGAGGCGGGAGAGAAGCUUCAGCUGGGAACGACAGAA
RNAcentral lists this long non-coding RNA (1167 nucleotides) under Coffea arabica (coffee). RNAcentral describes it as "long non-coding RNA (CARA_LNC005813)". The record is from RNAcentral. Lineage: Eukaryota; Viridiplantae; Streptophyta; Magnoliopsida; Gentianales; Rubiaceae.